UGCAAGUCGAGCGAACAGAUAGGAGCUUGCUCCUUUGACGUUAGCGGCGGACGGGUGAGUAACACGUGGGUAACCUACCUAUAAGACUGGAAUAACUCCGGGAAACCGGGGCUAAUGCCGGAUAACAUUUAGAACCGCAUGGUUCUAAAGUGAAAGAUGGUUUUGCUAUCACUUAUAGAUGGACCCGCGCCGUAUUAGCUAGUUGGUAAGGUAAUGGCUUACCAAGGCAACGAUACGUAGCCGACCUGAGAGGGUGAUCGGCCACACUGGAACUGAGACACGGUCCAGACUCCUACGGGAGGCAGCAGUAGGGAAUCUUCCGCAAUGGGCGAAAGCCUGACGGAGCAACGCCGCGUGAGUGAUGAAGGGUUUCGGCUCGUAAAACUCUGUUAUUAGGGAAGAACAAACGUGUAAGUAACUGUGCACGUCUUGACGGUACCUAAUCAGAAAGCCACGGCUAACUACGUGCCAGCAGCCGCGGUAAUACGUAGGUGGCAAGCGUUAUCCGGAAUUAUUGGGCGUAAAGCGCGCGUAGGCGGUUUCUUAAGUCUGAUGUGAAAGCCCACGGCUCAACCGUGGAGGGUCAUUGGAAACUGGGAGACUUGAGUGCAGAAGAGGAGAGUGGAAUUCCAUGUGUAGCGGUGAAAUGCGCAGAGAUAUGGAGGAACACCAGUGGCGAAGGCGACUUUCUGGUCUGUAACUGACGCUGAUGUGCGAAAGCGUGGGGAUCAAACAGGAUUAGAUACCCUGGUAGUCCACGCCGUAAACGAUGAGUGCUAAGUGUUAGGGGGUUUCCGCCCCUUAGUGCUGCAGCUAACGCAUUAAGCACUCCGCCUGGGGAGUACGACCGCAAGGUUGAUACUCACAGGAAUUGACGGAGACCCGCACAAGCGGUGGAGCAUGUGGUUUAAUUCGAAGCAACGCGAAGAACCUUACCAAAUCUUGACAUCCUUUGACCACUCUAGAGAUAGAGUUUUCUCCUUCGGGGGACAAAGUGACAGGUGGUGCAUGGUUGUCGUCACCUCCUGUCAUGAGAUGUUGUGUUAAGU
RNAcentral lists this ribosomal RNA (1049 nucleotides) under Staphylococcus sp. NCCP-2498. Its description in RNAcentral is "bacterial SSU rRNA". It matches the Rfam family "Bacterial small subunit ribosomal RNA", at positions 56 to 1085 of the family's 1533-position model. The record is from RNAcentral. Lineage: Bacteria; Bacillati; Bacillota; Bacilli; Caryophanales; Staphylococcaceae.